UACAGAGGGGGCGAGCGUUAUUCGGAAUUAUUGGGCGUAAAGGGCGCGUAGGCGGCUUUGCAAGUGAAGGGUGAAAUCCCUCGGCUUAACCGAGGAACUGCCCGUCAUACUGCUUAGCUUGAGACCGGGAGAGGUGAGUGGAAUUCCCAGUGUAGCGGUGAAAUGCGUAGAUAUUGGGAGGAACACCAGUGGCGAAGGCGGCUCACUGGACCGGUACUGACGCUGAGGCGCGAAAGCGUGGGGAGCAAACAGG
RNAcentral lists this ribosomal RNA (253 nucleotides) under uncultured bacterium. RNAcentral describes it as "partial 16S ribosomal RNA". It matches the Rfam family "Bacterial small subunit ribosomal RNA", at positions 524 to 776 of the family's 1533-position model. The record is from RNAcentral.